Molecule: long non-coding RNA, 271 nt
Filed under: Lathyrus oleraceus (garden pea)
Lineage: Eukaryota; Viridiplantae; Streptophyta; Magnoliopsida; Fabales; Fabaceae
Description: Pisum sativum (pea) long non-coding RNA (PSAT_LNC025028)
Source: RNAcentral
GACUCUCUUGUCUUUCUUCGCCGGUUGUUUUUUUUCGCAUUCCAUUUUUCAGGUUGCGACAAUGGGUAAGAAGAACUGCAUAGCCAGGGAAGCUUACACCAGGUGGGUAAAAGACAGAGUCAAGGAGAUAUUGCUGUCAUUUCCAUCUAAACCAUCCAUGAGCAUCAAGCCUCCUGAACCCGUGAUCAAUCAGACUUCUGAAGUCGAUGAGCUAAAAAGAACUAUCAAGGCCCUAGAGAAAGAGAACGCCGAUCUCAAAACUACACUUGGU